CUGAAACCGUGUACGUACAAGCAGUGGGAGCACCCUUCGGGGUGUGACUGCGUACCUUUUGUAUAAUGGGUCAGCGACUUAUAUUCUGUAGCAAGGUUAACCGUAUAGGGGAGCCGGAGGGAAACCGAGUCUUAACCGGGCGUUAAGUUGCAGGGUAUAGACCCGAAACCCGGUGAUCUAGCCAUGGGCAGGUUGAAGGUUGGGUAACACUAACUGGAGGACCGAACCGACUAAUGUUGAAAAAUUAGCGGAUGACCUGUGGCUGGGGGUGAAAGGCCAAUCAAACCGGGAGAUAGCUGGUUCUCCCCGAAAGCUAUUUAGGUAGCGCCUCGUGAAUUCAUCUCCGGGGGUAGAGCACUGUUUCGGCUAGGGGGCCAUCCCGGCUUACCAACCCGAUGCAAACUGCGAAUACCGGAGAAUGUUAUCACGGGAGACACACGGCGGGUGCUAACGUCCGUCGUGAAGAGGGAAACAACCCAGACCGCCAGCUAAGGUCCCAAAGUCAUGGUUAAGUGGGAAACGAUGUGGGAAGGCCCAGACAGCCAGGAUGUUGGCUUAGAAGCAGCCAUCAUUUAAAGAAAGCGUAAUAGCUCACUGGUCGAGUCGGCCUGCGCGGAAGAUGUAACGGGGCUAAACCAUGCACCGAAGCUGCGGCAGCGAACGUAUCACCCAAGACAACUUUACGGAGUUGACGAUUGACGGAGCGAAGCGACGUCAAAGCGUUCAUUAAAGUCGAGUUGGCUUAGGGAUACGUUCGUUGGGUAGGGGAGCGUUCUGUAAGCCUGUGAAGGUGUGUCGUGAGGCAUGCUGGAGGUAUCAGAAGUGCGAAUGCUGACAUAAGUAACGAUAAAGCGGGUGAAAAGCCCGCUCGCCGGAAGACCAAGGGUUCCUGUCCAACGUUAAUCGGGGCAGGGUGAGUCGACCCCUAAGGCGAGGCCGAAAGGCGUAGUCGAUGGGAAACGGGUUAAUAUUCCCGUACUUGGUGUUACUGCGAAGGGGGGACGGAGAAGGCUAUGUUGGCCGGGCGACGGUUGUCCCGGUUUAAGCGUGUAGGUGUGUGUUCCAGGUAAAUCCGGUUCACUUUAACACUGAGGCGUGACGACGAGGCACUACGGUGCUGAAGCAACAAAUGCCCUGCUUCCAGGAAAAGCCUCUAAGCAUCAGGUAACAC
RNAcentral lists this ribosomal RNA (1171 nucleotides) under Salmonella enterica subsp. enterica serovar Typhimurium. RNAcentral's name for it is "partial 23S ribosomal RNA". It matches the Rfam family "Bacterial large subunit ribosomal RNA", at positions 550 to 1637 of the family's 2925-position model. The record is from RNAcentral. Lineage: Bacteria; Pseudomonadati; Pseudomonadota; Gammaproteobacteria; Enterobacterales; Enterobacteriaceae.